CGAGCGAACAGACGAGGAGCUUGCUCCUCUGACGUUAGCGGCGGACGGGUGAGUAACACGUGGAUAACCUACCUAUAAGACUGGGAUAACUUCGGGAAACCGGAGCUAAUACCGGAUAACAUGCUGAACCGCAUGGUUCAACAGUGAAAGACGGUCUUGCUGUCACUUAUAGAUGGAUCCGCGCCGCAUUAGCUAGUUGGUAAGGUAACGGCUUACCAAGGCAACGAUGCGUAGCCGACCUGAGAGGGUGAUCGGCCACACUGGAACUGAGACACGGUCCAGACUCCUACGGGAGGCAGCAGUAGGGAAUCUUCCGCAAUGGGCGAAAGCCUGACGGAGCAACGCCGCGUGAGUGAAGAAGGUCUUCGGAUCGUAAAACUCUGUUAUUAGGGAAGAACAAAUGUGUAAGUAACUAUGCACGUCUUGACGGUACCUAAUCAGAAAGCCACGGCUAACUACGUGCCAGCAGCCGCGGUAAUACGUAGGUGGCAAGCGUUAUCCGGAAUUAUUGGGCGUAAAGCGCGCGUAGGCGGUUUUUUAAGUCUGAUGUGAAAGCCCACGGCUCAACCGUGGAGGGUCAUUGGAAACUGGAAAACUUGAGUGCAGAAGAGGAAAGUGGAAUUCCAUGUGUAGCGGUGAAAUGCGCAGAGAUAUGGAGGAACACCAGUGGCGAAGGCGAC
This 680-nucleotide ribosomal RNA is filed under the name uncultured Staphylococcus sp. Its description in RNAcentral is "bacterial SSU rRNA". It matches the Rfam family "Bacterial small subunit ribosomal RNA", at positions 63 to 725 of the family's 1533-position model. Lineage: Bacteria; Bacillati; Bacillota; Bacilli; Caryophanales; Staphylococcaceae. The record is from RNAcentral.